This 1932-nucleotide long non-coding RNA is filed under the name Lytechinus variegatus (green sea urchin). RNAcentral's name for it is "uncharacterized LOC121406351". Lineage: Eukaryota; Metazoa; Echinodermata; Echinoidea; Temnopleuroida; Toxopneustidae. The record is from RNAcentral.
ACGGUACCAGCUUUAAACACCUGUUAAUUUCCAUAUAUAAUCACGAACGUGUCAAAUCGAUGCAUAACUAUUAUCAACACUGCCAUUUCAUAGUCACUUUUCUCGGCAUUCACGGUUGCUUGUUCAAUGUACAACUUUGCUUCCGAAGAUGGUCAGUGCGAUCCUUACACCCACCUCUUAAUCGAGCUCAUUACGUAUCCUCUCUCCCUUAUUCUAAUGUACAAGAGGAUGUUCGCCGAGCGAUCGUGUAACAUUACCCCCGACAUGUAGUCAACGCAACCUUCUUCAAACCCACAAACUUCUGAACGAUUCCACGGCAUCUUCAAACAUCCACAGUCAUUGAUUUCGAAUCUGAGACCAUAUCAUCAAACUUAGUCCCAUCUGGACUAGCCUCUUGUGAUUUUAAUCAGGACUGUCUUCAGCGCAAAGGGAGUUUUAAACUUUAAUCAGCCACAAAAUUAAUUCUGCGACUGCGACGUAAUUGAUACCUGGGUUGCCAAGAAAAACACCCCUCGUGAUAACCCCAACCAGUUUCUCUCCAUUUUGCUGAUCUCAGCUUGAAACAUCCAACGUCAGCCGUUGCUAGGCAACCGGAAGACAUCUGACCAAGUCAACGAGAGGAGUGACUCUGCGAUGCAGCUCGAUAAAGGUAAUUUGCAAGGCAAUGUUUAACGACAUGCCAAAUAAAUCAAUGAUCAAACAUACCUUGAAAUCAUGUACCUCAUCUUUUUCCUUUCUUUUCCUUCUCGCUUCUUUCUCGCCCGUCCUCCUGUUUCUGCUGCUAGAUUGGAUUUUCGACGACUGGCAUUAUCGACUUUACUUGAGGUGAUGGUUAAAGAUCACCAACUUAGAAUCUAAAAUCAUCAAUAAUGCAAUGAAGGCGAAGCAAUUUGUUUGCAAUACCAUGAGUUACCCCAGAGCCCAAGGUUAUUAACAGCGUGGCUAAAUUACGGGUGUUUUUCUUACAGCAAUAUGAAUUACCUUGUCGUCAGGUGUGAGGCCGAUUGGAGAGUCUUAUCACGUCACCAGAAUUUGUUAGAUCAACUAAUAUGUUUGUUAAAUAUGAGCGUACUAACUAUCGGUGAUAAUGCAAUUGCACGUAACUAAUACGAAUUGAGAUUCUUUACCUACACUCGCAGAUAAUGAUUUACCAACCUAUGGUUAAAAUACGAACUUACCAAUUCGUUGGUUAAAACAAACACGCAUGCAAAAUGAAUUCGGAUUGUUAAACUACACUCGGAGAAUGCUUUACCAACCUAUAACAUGAUUCGAACAAAAGAAAACAAAAACAUGCAAAGUAUGCAAAGUGAUACGUUUCUUUUAAUAUCCUACAUUUCUUAGAUUAGAUUUUUAAAGAUUAUGUUUUAAGCAGAGCCGACGUUUGAUGCAGCAAAUUUUUCUUCUAUAAAAGUAGUGCAUAACAACUCAAUCACCAGAUAAUAUUAUCCAACAACAAAAGCCAAUUAACAGUAACCGGUCCAUAUUCAAUAAACAUGAAAUGAAAAGCUUUGCCAGUUUGUUCCGCGAAAUGAAAGAUUGACGUCAGCCACAUGAAAUAUGCACGCGUAUAUAAUUCAAUAAUUAAUCGGGAAAACACAAAGGGUAAUUUUGAAGUCUGGGCGCACAAUCAAGUAAUGAAUUCCAUAUCGAAAUUGCUUUCUGUUUUCCGCCCUGCAUCAAAUAUUCAUGAAAUCAUGUCGCAUGUAACGUGUGAUGUACCACUUUGUCUUUUGGUGUAUGAAUAUUUGAUAAGAGUGUAUUAUUCACUAUUCCCCGGGUGGGCAUGAAGGACCAUCGCUUUGUCUCAAUCGUGCAAAAACAGCUUUCAAAUUCACGCUAUCAUCAUUACCUCUAUCGCGAAGAAAAAAGUGCUAUUAAAGAUCAAGUCCAUCUCAGAAAAAUGUUGAUUUGAAUCAAUAGAGAAAAAUCAGA